This is a long non-coding RNA of Brassica napus (rape), 1790 nucleotides long. RefSeq lists it as uncharacterized. The record is from RefSeq and is a predicted model, not a curated record. NCBI's taxonomy places the organism in Eukaryota, Viridiplantae, Streptophyta, Magnoliopsida, Brassicales, Brassicaceae. The transcript is spliced from 8 exons.
GCAUGAUACCUCAGACUUUAAAAUGACUGAGAGAUUGACAUGUCAUCAAAUGAAAAAAGUUGAGAAGCUAAUGAGACCAUUUUGUUUGUCCAUGUCAUUGCCAUUGUGUUUAACUUCUUUUUUUAACAGUCUUGGUUUAGAAAAAAAUACGAAUCGACAAGAUCUAUGAUCCAUCGGCUGUAAUGUGAAUCCAAGCUCUAGCCCUAGCCGCUCUGAAUGGUGUUAAUUUCAACAUUUACUGUCGAUUUUUGGCGUUCUGGGUUAAUGAUAUCGCCAAGAUGCAGCAACAGUUUAGGUUUCGGAUCUCGGGAUCACGGAUCGUACCAUCCUCAGUUGAGAACUCUCUCUGUGGUUCGAUUCACAGAAGUUACUAUCUCCUCCUCUGUCACCGGAAAAGCCUAGCAAAAUUGUUUGAUCUUCUUGUCUCUGGUUCGAGAGAUGGAUGUUUUGCGCUAUGGGAUUUAAGAUGUAAAAGAAGCUCUUUAAGAGAAGAGUUUUGCAUCAACUCUACUGGCAUGGUUAAAGGAGCUCAUCUAUCUCCUCUUUCAAAAGAAAUUGGACGUCGCAAGGCUGCUUCAUCUAGCAUUACCUCUGUACUGUAUCUCAAAGACGAGAUCACAAUUGCCGGAGCACCAGAUAGUGCCCUGAAAUUUUGGACGUAAGAAAGCUGAAAGCUCCUUUUGCUCAAGCAUCUCCACUAAGGUAACCUAAGCUUCAUAUUUAUAUCGUGUUAUUUCUUAAUGGUCACUAUGUGAAUUUGGCAUUGCUCAGUUCCAGUAGAUACUUGAUUAACUUGUAUUCUGAAAACCUGGGUACUAUUUUUCUUAUUGUUGGUUAGCCUUGGUGAUGUUGUUCCUUGGGAACAGAUAAAGCCAUCAAAGAAUAUCUUGUAUGAAACAUGUAAGCCUGAGAAAUAGUUCAGGUGCAAUGACUUUGAUGAGAAGAGACUAUGAAGAUUCUAAAUUUUAAGAACCGAUGAGAGACAAUGAAGUAUAGUAACAGACGUAGGUUUAGUUGGUUUACAAGUGGAUAUCUUCUAUAAAGAAAACUCCAAAUGGUAUAUGAUUCUCCUUGUGAAGACAAUGGCUUCAGACGCGGAAAGAUUUUGUAGAAAUACGGUUAAAGAGCACUAUGAUUGUAGCUUUCUAAGUCUCAUAUUUGGUUCCCAAGGUGAUACUCAGAAACAGCUCGAGAAGUAACUCACCUACAAAUGUCAUGGCUACUAUUCUCAGCUACAGUUCCAUAUCUUCCUUGUGUUGACAGCCUUCUGUAUCUCUGAGUCAAGUACUUCUUCAUUACUAUCCUCUUGAUGGACGUCUCACCAUAAGUCCUGUAGGUAAACUCACUGUGAACUAUACUGAAGAUGGAGUUGUGUUUCUGGAAGCUGAAACAAACUGUAAAAUGGAUGAGAUUGGCGACAUCACGAAACCAGACCUUGAGACACUAGAGAAACUUGUCUAUGAUGUUGUAGAAACCAAGAAUAUUCUUGAAGUCCCUCCCGUUACUGCUCAGGUUUACUACUUUUCUUCCUGCUCAGGUGACUAAAUGGAGGGUUUGUUCUUCGACUCUGUAUGAAUCAUUGUAUGUUCGAUGGUAUCGGAGCUAUGGAGUUCGUUAACUCAUGGGCUCAAGUCGCUAGAGGCUUACCAUUAAUAACUCCUUUCUUUGACCCAAAAAAAAAACUCCAUUCUCGGAUAGAAUCGGAGGAGAUGUUUUUGUUUUUUUCUGUGUGUAUUUCUUUUUUUAGUACUCUAUGUUUCUAAUGUCGGAUUAUGUGUUUUCGUUAUGCC